CCUAGAUGAAUUUGGUGCUUGCACCAGAUGAAACUAGAUACAAGCGAGCGGCGGACGGGUGAGUAACACGUGGGUAACCUGCCCAAGAGACUGGGAUAACACCUGGAAACAGAUGCUAAUACCGGAUAACAACACUAGACGCAUGUCUAGAGUUUAAAAGAUGGUUCUGCUAUCACUCUUGGAUGGACCUGCGGUGCAUUAGCUAGUUGGUAAGGUAACGGCUUACCAAGGCAAUGAUGCAUAGCCGAGUUGAGAGACUGAUCGGCCACAUUGGGACUGAGACACGGCCCAAACUCCUACGGGAGGCAGCAGUAGGGAAUCUUCCACAAUGGACGCAAGUCUGAUGGAGCAACGCCGCGUGAGUGAAGAAGGGUUUCGGCUCGUAAAGCUCUGUUGGUAGUGAAGAAAGAUAGAGGUAGUAACUGGCCUUUAUUUGACGGUAAUUACUUAGAAAGUCACGGCUAACUACGUGCCAGCAGUCGCGGUAAUACGUAGGUGGCAAGCGUUGUCCGGAUUUAUUGGGCGUAAAGCGAGUGCAGGCGGUUCAAUAAGUCUGAUGUGAAAGCCUUCGGCUCAACCGGAGAAUUGCAUCAGAAACUGUUGAACUUGAGUGCAGAAGAGGAGAGUGGAACUCCAUGUGUAGCGGUGGAAUGCGUAGAUAUAUGGAAGAACACCAGUGGCGAAGGCGG
This 689-nucleotide ribosomal RNA is filed under the name uncultured Bacilli bacterium. Its description in RNAcentral is "bacterial SSU rRNA". It matches the Rfam family "Bacterial small subunit ribosomal RNA", at positions 62 to 724 of the family's 1533-position model. Lineage: Bacteria; Bacillati; Bacillota; Bacilli. The record is from RNAcentral.